Molecule: long non-coding RNA, 10879 nt
Organism: Dromaius novaehollandiae (emu)
Lineage: Eukaryota; Metazoa; Chordata; Aves; Casuariiformes; Dromaiidae
Exons: 2
Source: RefSeq, a predicted model, not a curated record
GCUGCCCCCUCCGAGCCCCGGCUGCCCCCUCCGAGCCCCGGCCGCCCCCUCCGCCCGCGCCCGCUUCGGGCGCUCGCGGAAAGUUUCCGCCGCCGGGAAGGCCCCGGGCAGCGGGAGCGGCGGCCCCGGGCAGCGGGAUCCGGGGGGCGGCGGUUCAUCCCCGCCGGGCUCCGACCCGCGCUGCGGUCUCGCCGCGGAGAAAAGCAGGGCGAUGAAGUUGCCGCCGCCCCGCAGCGCUGCUGUCGGCUGCAUCCCCCCCGCGCCGGCCCGCGUCUCUGCGCCGUGCGCUUUUUGGUCGAUAAAAUAGCUAGGGGAGCGCCGGGGUGUCCGCCGGGCUUGCGCCUUUCCGAAGGGGCGACGCGAGACCCCGCGGUUUCUGCUCCUCCCCGAGCCCGAAACACCAUCGCCAGCCCAGGGGCAGCUCUGCAGCCUCGACAUCCCCGCAGCGAGGGGACGGCGGAGUCGCCGAGUCCCGCCAGCGCGGUUACGGCAGCGCGGUGCGAGGCCUGGAGGCCGCUGGCUCCGGCUUUCUUCGGUGCCCCGGUGCCGCUCACGCUGUGCCCUCCGGACGAGGGUCCCUCCUUGGGAAGCGGUGCCCGCAGGCUGCUCCCCUUCCACGCCGCGCUCCAGCCACGGUUGCGGAAAGCUCCCCAUCCCCUUCCCCCAACUCCUCUCCCGACCGGGAGCAUCGUGCGCUUGGAGGGAGAUCUGUUUACUGCAGCUGGUCAUCAAAAAUUAAAUGUCGUUUCCUUUGUGAUUUAGCGGCUUCUUCCGUGACUCCUGGCCUGUCUCUCUCCCCCACCCACCGUUAGGCUAUUUUUAACGAACCCAGGGGGAUUGCACGCUUUCACUCGCCUUCUCCUGCAGCUGGAAAUGCAAAGUGCACGAUGGUGUUUGGGUUUUUUUUUUUUGAAGUUUGUUUCUAGAUGGUGUCGUCUGUCAGGGCAGUGUUGUGAUCCGAUGGCUUUGUUGCCCUCGUAAGAAAUGAUUAGCGGUGACAGGCACGUAUGGCUGCUGUCUGGGUACCUACCGUUUCUUACCCUGUGGUGAGAAACACGGAGUUUAUUAUGGAAAGACUUGAGUCUUGCUUCAUACGGCCCCAGUGCGUUUUAUGCAGAGCUCGGUCAGAAGACUGCAUUUUUUUUCUUUUUAAAGCAAAAUAAACAAAACCGCUGGGAGGCUUGUGCCUGGCUUCAGAUCUAGCUCAGGCUGAUAGUGUCUUAAAGGUCAUAGGAUUUGUGCUUGGCCUGCGUGAAAUAUGGCCCAAGUCUAAACCCCAGGGGAUUUUGUGGCAUUUAGUAUGAAUGUGCUGGAGAUUUACAACAGGCCAGCUAUUGCAUUAAAUGAUCAAUAACUUUUGCUGCAAGUAGAUAAGAGGCUGAACUAUUGCUUACGUGAUGGUCUCCCAUGGGAGUGUUAGGCACUCCGGUUCUGGUGGAGGUUCCCAAGCUUUCAGAGCCCUAUCUAAGAUGUACCUGAAGAAAAAGCCCUGCCUCUUUCACUAAAAUUUCUUUCUCCAGUUCAGGGCGUUUGCUAAGGCUUCAGCAGAAAAAAUAGUCUGUGGGUAAACUUUGCUGCUGGUGGCCGUGAUGCAAAAACCUCUCGCUCAGCUCGAGCAAGCAAAGUGUCUGAACACUGCUGCAGAAGAGGAGCAGAGGAGAGCACAUGACGUACAAGUCUGUUCUUGGGCAUCCCUGCUGCGACUCUUCUUCUGUGUGAUUUAUGCUGAUCCUGAUGCUGACGUAACGCACUGAUGUUGAUCUGGAAAAGAUGGUGAUCAUCUGAUGAUCCUGAAAGUGUCUUGAAAUUAUGAAUAGAUCCAACAUUCAGACAAGAGUCCAAGGUUUCCAUCCAGUUUCCUGCUGGGUUUGUAUAGAAUAAUCAUCCUGAAGAAAAGAGAAACAAUCCUUAGUACACCGGAAAAGUGAUUCUUGUUUUCUAAUGCAGCUGUUAAUAUGUUUGAGGUUGACUGAUUCUGCUGAUAUAAAUUGUUAUCCGUGGCCUCUUAAUGGCAGUUAUUGAUUUCAUUCUGUGUGCUGAUACUGAACUCCAGGGGCAGGAGCACUGAUCUUCAUCUGGACUGUUUUACUGCUUUUAAGCUCAGUUCUUGAUCUUUACCUUAGUGGUAUCUGGGAUACUGUCUUGUUGUUGUGUGGGUACAUGUGAGAGUUGAUUCUAACUCACUCUUGCCUUUAGGGUCACUUCUGCAUCCUUAGCUGUGGAAUUUGAGUAGCAAUGUUGAUGUAGUCUGUUUUUAUGGAUAUUGGCCAUAACUUGAACAUAACUGCACGUAUUUUAGACACCAGCACGAAUAUACACACGUAGCAAUAUUGGCAACUGAAGUAAUCUUGUGGUAGUGAGCAGGACUUGCACGUUCUCAGUUUACUGAGUAGACGAAAGGUGUUUCUGUUGGCAGGAGUCGGCCAAGUACCCCGCUGCGUGGCUGUUUCCCCUCUAGUGUAAGAAUUUUAUCUAUGUUUUAACUUCAUGUAAAACAGAGAGCAACCUCGCUGAAGGGAGAGGUUCUGCUUUCCCCUGAAAUGUGCUCAGGGGGCAGGAAUUGCUUUUGUGUGCUUUAAAACAAACCGUUGGGGAGACAGGCUUUGCUUGGAGGCUUAGAGGAGUCUUGGGAGGCACAGGAUUGGAAACGGCCUGCUCGUGGGAUGGGACACUCGCGUCCGGGGAGGCUGCCCCAGGAAGAUGGAGCUGAAUCGGAGUUGUCGCCGCGAUGCAAUUGAACCGGCUGUCAGCUCCAUCGGGUGUUCACUCUGCUGAGACAGCUUUGUACGGCAGUAACACUCACCUCUGGGUUACUUGGUUUGUAAAGACUGAGUAAAAGCAAAGCAGAAAUCAGUAUAAAAUCACAUCCUUUCUAGAUAACGAAUGAAGAUUCUGGAAAGCCUAAUCUCCUUCUGAAGCCAAAAGGGGUGAGAUUGCUUAAUACCUUGCAGCCCCAGGCUGUAAGCCUUGGAGGGUGUUCAAGCUUUGUGGUUGCUUAUUGGCAAAGCAAUACUUAGUUAGGCAAUGUAAUUCUCCACAUCACAGUAUAUCAAAUGUUUCCCCAAGGCACUGUUCUCCAUUAAGUUUACAUUCAAUAGUAUGUAUCUGUGAGGAAGAAUUAUCAUAUGCAAUUCAUGUCUAAGUAAAGGCAGUUUACAAGUGUAUUUGAAGGGAUGAAUUUCUUCAUUUAUGACAAAAUACCCUUCACAGACCAUUUCUCAUAUACCUGAGUCAUUCUGAGCCUUGUCACAUGUGAGAGCAGAAAGUGGUUGCUGAGCUGCCCAUUUAUAGGUUUUCAAAUGCUUAAGAGUUACUACGUGGUGUUAUCUUUGGUGUGUGUCAUUGGUUGCAAGGCAGUGUAUUUGCAUGAGAUCAUGGGUUUUGCUUUAUACACAGUGUGUGAUAAAGGUGACUGUAUUUGUCGUGGUUCAUUGCCAGGGUUCUCGUAAGCAGAGACAACCCAACUUACUGGCAGUUUAUUAUUAAGAGAUUCAGCCAAGAUAUUAUGAUUGCAGUCUUAGUCUGGCUUCCUAGUUGAAUUUCACCUGAAAUCACGUGAGUUACAGCACAAUUUUCUUGCUGAAUUUGGAAGUCUUGUGCUGAAAGAUGCUCUUUUCCUUUCAUCUUUCUCAGCAUGAGCUUUGUAUUGGUGAAUCACGGGCCAAGACUCGUGGAUGAUUGUAACUAUGAAGAUGAGCUGUAGAUACCAAACAUGGGAAUAUACCGGGAAGCUACUAUCCAGCAGUCUUUCUCAAUUUUGUACAGUUGAAGCAAACAGUGCUACAGCAUUAGUGAACAGUGUUACUUAAUAGGAGAUGGUGCUGGAGGCUACAGACAUGAAAUGGCAGACCCCAAUUCCACGCCCCAAAGCACCCAAGCGUUGGCUUGAAUGGGGAUUGUGGAGGCUGUUACACAGAAUUUAACUAUCGCCUUUUCUCCCUUAGCAUUUAGAUAUUCUGGGGGCAAGAGAUUGCCACAGCUUUCCUGCAGCACCUGGAGAACCUGCAUGCGUUUUCCUGAGGGCUGUUGGAGUACCAGUUUUGUUGAUCUCUUAUGGAAAAGAGCCAGCCCUAUAAAUUCUUCUCAGUCUUACGAGCGUGCAUGUGUUGCCAGCAGCUGCACUGCUCUGGACUACAGAACUUGUCUCGGGGAAUUGUGUUUAUCCAUCGGAUGCCCCUUUCAGGCUGUAGAAGCGUGCGAGAAAUCUGGAAGCUGUAGCUGUGGAAGCAGCGUUUGCUUUCGGUGGCUUGCGUUGGGUGUUGUGCGCUGAGCGAUCCCCUAUGCCCUGGCCAGCUCCACGGGCUCCGUCAAGCGCUGCAUCUAACCCAUAGCAUCCAAACAACGCUGCGGAGCCAGGCACUUCACAUCUCUGACCCAGCGCCCGUAUUUCCCUCUGUGCAGGCUCUUUCCCCCCCCGCUUGUUUUGAUGGCUGCAUGGGUGGUUUUCCUUGCUUUCCUUAUGCUAUGAUUGUAGACAUGGCAAAAAUAGGAGAUGUUUAUCCAGACUCAGCGCCAGAGUCCUAAGUUUACAUAUCAGGCUCGCCACUGCUUUGGAAGAGUUUGAGAGAGGAAAGGAAAUUUUAGUUUGUUUUUAUGUUCACAAAGUUAGGGAUUUGGGGUUUAGGGUUUCAUCAUCUUCUAGUAUGGUUUUCUUUUUUGUGAAAGGAUCUAGGUCUUCUCCUCUCCCAUGCACCAGGAAAUGGAAAGUGGCCUGUGGUCUGGAGAGAGAACAUUUGCAAGCAAUUACACCUACUCUUCUUUUCCCCCAAACAGCGCAGUAAGGCUCGGAAGCACUUGCUGGUGGUGCCGGGGCUGUAUAGCCAGCAGCGAGUGGUUCUGGAGCGUUAUGGGCUGGAACUGAAACAGAACAAUUUUGGAUAAUGGCAACUGGAAAUGAGUAGAUGUUGUGUGUAACCACCGGCUCUCGUCCAUCUUAGUCUUCAACAGUUCAGGCCAUUGGGAAGGCUGGUGAGGCUGCUUCGAACUUCUGCAAUCCCAGCAAAGUAGUACACGCAGAGGUGGAGCUUGUGCAAAAUUUGUUUUUAUGUUUUCCAUUCAAAUCUCUUUAGGACCUUUUUCUUCUGCUUUUCUCAAGAAAUACAAAUCAUGCCCUCCUCAGAUAAAAGGAAUGAAGUCUGUGUGCCUUGUGCUUCUGUGGUGUUUUGCUUCUUUGAGCUUUUCGAGUGGCUGGCAUUUUGUCUGUAUGAACAGCACAGCGGUGCAGGGAGACGGAGCAGAAGAUGGUGUUGGUGUUUAGCCUUGCUGAGGGCAAAUGCCGCUGCAGCAGCGUAAUCCGUCGUGCCCAGCGAUUUUGUCGGUGGUAUACGGCAAGCGUGUGUUUUUCUGUGGUUGCAUCAAAGAUUGCAAAGGUGACAUCAAAGCCCGAAUGCACGCAGUCAUGUUGUCACCCUAGAAGCAGCUAAAGCGUACGUUUUGGAAUUGCUUGUGUACUUCUGCGUGAAUGUUUGGCGCAUAUUCGUGCAGUUAAUAUGAGAAGAUAAUACUGGUAUGAAUCCUGUUUUAUUCUUAGAAAUACUCUUGUAAUAUGAUGCAAGUUUAGGUAAAAGAUGUGAUAUGGGGAAAAUAAGCUGCACGUGUAGUUUUAGAAACCAUUUUCUAAGUGUACAUGUAACUUUUCUAUGAUACUUAGCUCAUAUAGUUUAUCAUAUGCUGUGAGUUAGAACUGCCUUGUUCUACUAGACUAGAUACUGAGUUUAAACACAGCUCUUGUGUAAACAUUAUGUGCAUGAAGUACUUUUUUGGACAUCCAGUGUUAACCAGACUGAACGUCUCUCAAUACAAUGGUAUGAAUUGUUCUGAAUUAGCGUUCUCAGGGUAGAAGACAAAAUAUGUAACAUGAAUCUAGCUAGACGGUUAGCUAGGAUGCCUUCCAUCUGUCUUGCUGUCUUUUUUUUUAAAGUCAUUGUUCCAAACUGUAGAUAAGUGAAGUGUCUUUCUUAAAAUAUUACAUUCAAAUUUUUAAUAGUGCCAAAGGUUAAAUUGCUUGCAGCUGUUGCAAAUGCUUUAAUAUAUCCAAAUAAAAAACAUUCUACUGUGCUUAAAUAGAAACAGUUUUCUGACAACAUGAGAGGUGAAAUUAUACUUCCUAGUUAAGGCUGGGAAAAACUUUGUGUUAGGGGUAUCUGUGGACUGUAUAUGCAGGUAUGACAGUGUUUAUUUUUAGGGGGUGCAUCAGGAUUAUGUUCUUUUUGUGCACUGCUAGAGGAGCGGAGGCUGCCUCUGAAAGGCUCUGAAUGCCCUCCGCUUGCACCCUGAUGCUCAGCGCUUCCCAAGAUAGGAUCCGCGCAGUGUCAUGUUAGGGCUGAGCGCUUACGCUAUUUUAAUAAAUAUUUGCAGAGUUGAGCAUAUAACUUUUCCUGAGGCACUAAAGUUGCACGCAAAAAUCCCUGUAGAAGUCAGCGAAUUGGCAUGCGUAUAAUGAGUAGAAGAUGCCAAAAGCCAGGGUCUGUGGAAGGUUGUUCCUAUAGCUUAUUCCUCCCAGAGGAGGAAGGACUGGGGCAUAGAGAGAUAAAUGGAACCAAACAAACAUGGAUAGAUAUCAGCUGUUUAAGCUGAAAGCAGAACUAACAAAAACAAAUUCUUGGCUAUUCUGUUUAUAAAAUAAGGCAAUGUCAUUGGUUACAGCAAGAGCUAUAUUAGCUCUGUGUUAUGUAGCUGUUUUUUGUGUUCCCAAACCCCUGAGUUGCCACGCUGGAACCACAGAUGUUAAUUCCUUGCUGCUCAUCAGUGACCUGGAAACCUCAACGAAACCCACAGUGUAUAUCAGAAUUUUGUUACUCAAAAAUGUUCCCGCUCCAACAUGAAAACACAGCGUUAAGUACAUUUUUUAACCCCAGCCAUAUUCAGGGAAGACCUUCAGCUUGUGAUAAAACUGAAAGUACUUUUGGUGGUCACAUCCUGAGAAAGUGCUUUGAUUGGACUGUUUAUGGUGUUGGUUGUUCCAGAGCAGAGCCUCAUCCGGGAGCGGGUCCGUCGCAGGGCAGCGUCCCGGGGGACUGCUACAGCCACUUUCUGAAACUUGGCAGGCAGGAGGAAGAGAGCUGGACUUCAGCCACCAGAAGAAAAUGUAAAGGUUUAACAUUAACCCUCGGGCUGAAUGAGGUGAAGUUAAUGCUCUCUGGGUUCAGCCAAAGUCGUCUUCAUAUCCUGACUUGUAGCUUCUCCCAGCUAGUCUUGCCUGCGGGAAAGGGAUGUGAUGAUUCCUUUAAUGAGCUAUCUGAAAUCUGGUUUUACUGGGGCUCCUUUUGGCAUGUGUGAAUGCCACCUCGCUUGAAAUUCUCAAGGCGCUCGAGCAUGAAAUUGUAAUUAUUACCUGCCGAGUAAUCUAUUGUUUGAAUUGCUGUGGUGUCAGAGCCAAAAACGAGUCGAAUGCCGCAGUAAUUCUAAACAGGAUCUCGGGGAAGUCUGGGAGCUACAGGCUAUGUCUCUGUGCUGGACAAAUUGAUGUUAUUUUUUGUGAGGCUCUUUCCCAGCGGACACGUAGGCAAAUCGAGUAUGGUGGGAAAGAGUCAGCAGCGCUAUCGGAGAAGGAAGCAGUGUCUCACAGCUGCGCUAUUCGAAGAAGUCAGUGAGUGCAUGAGCAAGGGUUGCACUUGCUGAGACCCUGGCCUCCAGAAAGUUUUGGAUGAGCUUUGGCCAGAUUAAGAGUCAUUGUCCUUAAAGAAACUAAACUGCCAUGGCAUAAGAGGAAAGGACUUUUCUUGGCUUAUGUAAUUGGUUACAAACCAAUUAUAUAAAACAGAUAACCAACAUGAGUUUGGAAUAUGAAGGCGGCUCUGGCGAUAUACAGAAGUGGCAGAGGAAAUCCUACGGGGAUCUGCACUGAACAACAUGACCAUCAACGACCCAAAGAAGGGGAGCGAAGCGGCAAUCUGUUGGUGCGGUUCAGCAACUGCAGUUCAGCGCCGGAGAUAAGGGCAAGGCUGCAGGAAACGCUGUGUGAGGGUAUUUGUUGGGUAAUAGCUGCUGACAGACUCGAAACCUUCUAUCAGAGAUCAGCACUGAAAUCUCAGCGCUUGGAAGUUGAGCCAGACCACGCACAGGGAAGAGCUGCCUUUAGAGCUUCCAUUUUACGUUAUCAUAAAAUGCGCUGCAGGAUCCAGAUCGGGACUGGGACACUCGUACUCGAAGGCGUCAGCACAGAGUGAGCUCUGCCGGGCGAUCUGAAACCUCAGUCCCGAGGUGGGACUGAGAGAAGUUUUCCAGUAAUCAGAACUGAAAUGUCAGCUCUUUUCGUGGGCUCUGGAGUUAAGGGGCAGAUGUGGCUUUCAGCUACCUGAAAUGUGAGUGAAAAGUUGCAGGAAUGAACACGGCUGUUCUUUGUAUGUGUCUCAUCACUGGCUGCAGUCUGUGCUCACCAAUUCUUACAUGAGAAACACCGGCAUUUGAUGAUAUGGACAGCAGGUAGUUCAGAAAACAUCAUGGCUUUGCAACACGAGCAGCGGAUGUUAGCAUACAGCAUAGUUAGACCUGGGUAAUAAGGUGGGUUUGUCAAAAACCCCUAUAGGCAUAGGUCAAAAUAAAUUGGCAAAGUCGAAUGUAAACAGAAAACAGGCAGCCUCUGGGAAAAAUGAUAAGUUUUCACGUGAAACCACAUUUUUAGGAGUAGUGGUUUCCAGGCAGGUUUAAACAAAACAUCUGUAUGAACCUCAUGGGUGAACCUUUGACUGCAUUAAUGUCACUGGGAGUCUUGCCACUGCCUGCAGUAAGACAAGGUUUUACUCCUUGGGAGAUACUUAAUGCCGCUUACCUACCGUCACUGCUGCGUGCGUGCUGCCAGCGUCCUGAACCAGAGCUGCGGCUGCAGGCCGGCAGGCAGAGCAGGAGGGGGGCAGAGCAAGUCAGGGAAUGAAUUAGAGAAGAAAAUAAUCCAAAAACCUUCUCGGUGGGAUUGCAUAGAAAUGACACUCGAGUUAAACUGAUUUAUAGAUAAUAGAGAUAGGUUUUUUUUUUUCCCCCUCUAGGCAGGAAAUAGGUACAAUAUAUGUGAGUAGAAAUAGAAAGGAGUCACAAGAUAAAAAGGGGCAGGUUUGCAAAUUUAUUUGUCAGUGCCCUGAUAAUCCUGAUUACGAGCUAAAAAUUCCUUUCUGCCCUGUAACGCAGAUAAGCAAGUCUCAUGGUUCUGGUGACUAAAACUGUAAAACCUCUGUCCUUGAGCAAUCUUUGUCCGAGUUUCUCUUCCCUUCCGUGGUGUCUGAGCACGCAGGGCGGGAGCCUCGGUGCCCCCCGUCGAGGACAGAGGCUCGAGGUGUCCCGGCGAUGAGGAGACCCAAGCAGCUCCGUCGCAGGGCAGGCUUUUCCUUCUAGGAAGUCACACCUGCGUAAGCGGAGGAGCAGCUGGACAGACAGCUACGUCUUCGAUAUAACGAUCCAGGACGAAAACGAGCCGCUUGGAACGCCGUAGGGCAGCCAUGGCUUCGCACCGCCGCCGCUCGAGCGCUGGGCUGGGACUGGAGAGCAGCAGGGGAACGGAGCUAUUUUGGCUGCUGGCCCAGGGCUGGAGGACUCCAUCCUACAGCAAAUAAACAGCUGGGAGGCUUAAUCUCUUAAAAAAUAAAAUGCAGUAUGUAUUUGGAUAAGCGUUUGUACGCCAAGAUCAAAAACUAACUUGUGUGGAGGCAGAAGGAAACUUGUGUUUUUUUUAAAAAAAAAAAAAAAAAAAAAAAAAAAGGAAAGAAAAGAGGAAAAAAAGGAAAAAGUACUCUACAGAUAUUGUGGUGACCAGAGUGAUGUAAAAACUGAGUAAAGGCAGGGUGGGAGCAGGCACAGAGCUGGGCCCGAGGCGGAUGGUUGCUCUUUGCUGGGCUCCUGCCGCGCCGCGGGUGAGCGUAGCUCGCUGGUGGGAAAGACCUUCCUGCGUGGGCCAAACGCUCCCUCUUUACCUUGCUGUCAGCACUGCGGUGUCCCCUCAGAGGUCCCCUGGCCCUUCGUGACCGUGGCAAGCAGGGGUUGGUGGCUCCUGCGUGUCCGCAGCUCCCUUGAGCGGCUGAAAGCUACUGCAGGUAUUCCCGAAGCUGCAGCGCGGCCAGCUUUCUGUGGCCUUCUGCUUAUCCCGGGGUUUUUCCCCCCUCAAAGAUACAGUUCCUCAAGUUACAGUAUUUUGUAGAAGUCUGCACUAAAAUAAAAAAGGGAUUUUUGGCCCUCAGGAUGAUAAAUACUUGCAACAUUAGCCAAGCAAAUUAACAGUUUCCAAAGUUGGUGGCAAUACAGACUAUUAUUACCUAAAUCUUUUGGCUUCUGGACGCUUUGGUGUGGCUGCGCUGGGCUAAGCAUGCUGUUCUAUUUCAGCAUAGCCUGACUCUUUCUGGAAAAAGAGGAAGGAAAUCUAUAUUUAUCCCAAAGCUUUUCUUUGAAGCCCCUCUUCCUUUCUAUUAUGGUAAUUAGGUAUUUCAGGGAGAAAAAGCUUUCUUCUCUUGAUAAAUUUGUUAAAGUUUUAGAGUAUUGGAGUCCUCGCAAAGACACUAUGGCUAAAUAACGUCUGUGGCACCUGAGUUCUUGCAGGAUGGAAAGUGAUACAGGACUGAGGAACCUGGAUUUGCUGUAGGAGCCCUGAGGUCAUAUUGUAUUUCUUCUUAAAGUAAUUAAAAAAAAAAAAAUGUAACUGCCUGACUUGGUAUAAAGGUAGUAAAACAACAGUUAGUAAUAUAAACUUCAGAGCCUUUUAGUCUUGUGAGUUAAUUUAGUCUAUUAGUGCUAAAACAUCCAGGAAAUAAACCUUCCUUUUGCUGCAGACCGCGGGAGCCUUGUGUAGCGCUCACCUGUACUUUUUAGCUCAUUUGUUAACCGGUGUUUUUCCUGUUUGCUCUCUGCCACGAAGGCUCCUUGCCACCAACAUAAACGCACAGGUUCUGAAAAACGA